RNAcentral lists this ribosomal RNA (918 nucleotides) under uncultured Bacillota bacterium. Its description in RNAcentral is "bacterial SSU rRNA". It matches the Rfam family "Bacterial small subunit ribosomal RNA", at positions 1 to 917 of the family's 1533-position model. Lineage: Bacteria; Bacillati; Bacillota. The record is from RNAcentral.
UGGAUCCAGACUUUGAUUAUGGGCUCAGGACGAACGCUGGCGGCGUGCCUAACACAUGCAAGUCGAACGAAGCUUGAUUUAUGAUUUCUUCGGAAUGAGUAAUGAUAUGACUGAGUGGCGGACGGGUGAGUAACGCGUGAGCAACCUGCCCUUCGGAACGGGAUAGCGUCUGGAAACGGACGGUAAUACCGUAUAACGUAUUUUUACCGCAUGAUAGAAAUACCAAAACUGAGGUGCCGAAGGAUGGGCUCGCGUCUGAUUAGAUAGUUGGUGGGGUAACGGCCUACCAAGUCGACGAUCAGUAGCCGGACUGAGAGGUUGAACGGCCACAUUGGGACUGAGACACGGCCCAGACUCCUACGGGAGGCAGCAGUGGGGAAUAUUGCACAAUGGGGGAAACCCUGAUGCAGCGACGCCGCGUGAAGGAAGACGGUUUUCGGAUUGUAAACUUCUGUUCUUAGUGAAGAUAAUGACGGUAGCUAAGGAGCAAGCCACGGCUAACUACGUGCCAGCAGCCGCGGUAAUACGUAGGUGGCAAGCGUUGUCCGGAAUUACUGGGUGUAAAGGGAGCGUAGGCGGGAAGCCAAGUCAGCUGUGAAAACUACGGGCUUAACCUGUAGACUGCAGUUGAAACUGGUUUUCUUGAGUGAAGUAGAGGUUGGCGGAAUUCCGAGUGUAGCGGUGAAAUGCGUAGAUAUUCGGAGGAACACCGGUGGCGAAGGCGGCCAACUGGGCUUUAACUGACGCUGAGGCUCGAAAGUGUGGGGAGCAAACAGGAUUAGAUACCCUGGUAGUCCACACUGUAAACGAUGAUAACUAGGUGUGGGGGGUCUGACCCCUUCCGUGCCGCAGCUAACGCAAUAAGUUAUCCACCUGGGGAGUACGACCGCAAGGUUGCAACUCAAAUGAAUUGACGGA